Molecule: transfer RNA, 76 nt
Filed under: Bacillota bacterium
Lineage: Bacteria; Bacillati; Bacillota
Also listed under: 2 other names
Description: tRNA-Phe
Rfam family: tRNA
About the family: Transfer RNA (tRNA) molecules are approximately 80 nucleotides in length.
Source: RNAcentral
GCCCAGAUAGCUCAGUUGGUAGAGCAGUAGACUGAAAAUCUACGUGUCCUUGGUUCAAUUCCGAGUCUGGGCACCA